Apis florea (little honeybee) is the source of this 447-nucleotide long non-coding RNA. The record is from RefSeq and is a predicted model, not a curated record. Lineage: Eukaryota; Metazoa; Arthropoda; Insecta; Hymenoptera; Apidae.
AUUCUUAUCGAUAACGCGUUUUCCUUGUAAUUUACAGGGCGGUGACAGAUCCGAGGGAUGGUAGGAGAGUGGCCUUGAAAAAACUGCCGAAUGUCUUUCAGAGCCUCGUGAGCAGCAAACGAGUCUUCAGGGAGUUGAAGAUGCUCUGCUUCUUCAAACACGAAAACGUUCUCUCGGCCCUGGACAUCCUUCAACCACCUCACCUGGACUUCUUCCAAGAAAUGUAUCCUUUUCUAUAUAUAUACUCGACGAGAACACAAAGUUAAAAACAGGUUUGUCUUUUCGGAGAAGUCCGAAAACGCUGAUUCCUUUACUCGUCGACUCGUGUUUCCGGGACUUUGUACUCGGCCUCCUCUAUGGGAAUAAAUUCCAAGCCUCGAGGCGAGAGAGUUAUAAAGAAUUCUACGUGGAAAUAUCGCGAUUUUAACUGCGUUCUUCCAAGAAGAU